RNAcentral lists this ribosomal RNA (332 nucleotides) under uncultured bacterium. RNAcentral's name for it is "bacterial SSU rRNA". It matches the Rfam family "Bacterial small subunit ribosomal RNA", at positions 568 to 898 of the family's 1533-position model. The record is from RNAcentral.
CGUGUAGGCGGGAGUACAAGUCAGAUGUGAAAUACCGAGGCUUAACCUCGGGGCUGCAUCUGAAACUGUGUUUCUUGAGUGUCGGAGAGGAAAGUGGAAUUCCCAGUGUAGCGGUGAAAUGCGUAGAUAUUGGGAGGAACACCAGUGGCGAAGGCGACUUUCUGGACGAUAACUGACGCUGAGGCGCGAAAGCGUGGGGAGCAAACAGGAUUAGAUACCCUGGUAGUCCACGCUGUAAACGAUGGAUACUAGGUGUAGGAGGUAUCGACCCCUUCUGUGCCGGAGUUAACACAAUAAGUAUCCCACUGGGGAGUACGGCCGCGAAGGUUGAA